AAACAAGUUAGAUAAUUGAAAUUUGAUGAGAUGGUGAGAACACAAACUAGAAUUGGGGGUAAAAGGAAUGUUAUAAUAAAGUUACACUGAUAUUGAAAGUUGUCACGUUUUAUAUAUGGGUAAUAAUAAAAUAUAAUAAAAAACAGACACCAACAUUAAAUAAAUGUCACAUGUCUGUUUUUCCUGCAUUUUUCACGUGUCUAUAUUUGAGACCAUGUUCCUUGGUUGAGAAUAAAAGUGAUCGAUGAAUUUUGAGUCUCACUUAUAAAAGAGUUUGGCUAUAAGUUCCUCAAUCUCCCUUUGGAAUGAUGCAUUUGCUUUGCAACAACAACAUGGGAUCUCAGAACACCAAAACCAAAUUUCUCAAUGCAAGUCCCCAGAAAUUAUUUUUCUAUGGCGUGGCUCCAAAGAGUGGUAUCACAACUUAUGUUUUAAUCAAAGGAGGAAGAUGAGCAUUUUGACAUGCUGACCAGAAUCAACAUUGUGUGUUGUGCCUUUGGAGAAAGAUUAGGCGUGAUGAUUCUUUUUAUGCAAGGACUUCAUUAAUGCAUAUAUGGUUAGGGUCUGGUUUGGUAAUAUGGAAAUUGUCGACAAUGAGUCUGAUGUGCAAGGCAAGGAUGAUUGAUGAUAGAAAAAGAUCAUCGUUGUUAAUGAGUCAUGUAGAUCCUUAGUGAUGAGAGUGAUUCAAACAAAUAUGUUGGUAGUAUGUAAAAUGUUUGUUUCAGAACAUGUGAGACUUUAGAUGAAGGAAAUAUAUGUUUGUUAUCAAGUGAAUAUUCACUAAAGUCCAACAUUGAGUAAUAUGAAGAAGAGAGUAGCAAAAAAGUACUAUAAGAAUUAAGAUUUGGAGUUAUCAAAAUAACUCAAUGAGAGACUUAGGUAAUUGUUAUUAUUAUAGAGUUUGCAAUUUUGUCCAAAGAAUUUACAUGAGAAGGUUUGCAUUAUUUGGCAGAAAAAAUAUAUGAGAUGGUUUGCAAUUUUUGCUAGAAAA
Vigna unguiculata (cowpea) is the source of this 991-nucleotide long non-coding RNA. RefSeq lists it as uncharacterized. The record is from RefSeq and is a predicted model, not a curated record. NCBI's taxonomy places the organism in Eukaryota, Viridiplantae, Streptophyta, Magnoliopsida, Fabales, Fabaceae.